This 253-nucleotide ribosomal RNA is filed under the name uncultured bacterium. Its description in RNAcentral is "partial 16S ribosomal RNA". It matches the Rfam family "Bacterial small subunit ribosomal RNA", at positions 524 to 776 of the family's 1533-position model. The record is from RNAcentral.
UACGUAGGGUGCAAGCGUUAAUCGGAAUUACUGGGCGUAAAGCGUGCGCAGGCGGUGAUGUAAGACAGAUGUGAAAUCCCCGGGCUCAACCUGGGACCUGCAUUUGUGACUGCAUCGCUAGAGUACGGUAGAGGGGGAUGGAAUUCCGCGUGUAGCAGUGAAAUGCGUAGAUAUGCGGAGGAACACCGAUGGCGAAGGCAAUCCCCUGGGCCUGCACUGACGCUCAUGCACGAAAGCGUGGGGAGCAAACAGG